Molecule: ribosomal RNA, 1302 nt
Filed under: metagenome
Description: bacterial SSU rRNA
Rfam family: Bacterial small subunit ribosomal RNA
Source: RNAcentral
AGAGUUUGAUCCUGGCUCAGGACGAACGCUGGCGGCGCGCCUAACACAUGCAAGUCGAACGAGCGAGAGAGAGCUUGCUUUCUCGAGCGAGUGGCGAACGGGUGAGUAACGCGUGAGGAACCUGCCUCAAAGAGGGGGACAACAGUUGGAAACGACUGCUAAUACCGCAUAAGCCCACGGUGCCGCAUGGCACAGAGGGAAAAGGAGCAAUCCGCUUUGAGAUGGCCUCGCGUCCGAUUAGCUAGUUGGUGAGGUAACGGCCCACCAAGGCAACGAUCGGUAGCCGGACUGAGAGGUUGAACGGCCACAUUGGGACUGAGACACGGCCCAGACUCCUACGGGAGGCAGCAGUGGGGAAUAUUGCACAAUGGGGGAAACCCUGAUGCAGCGACGCCGCGUGGAGGAAGAAGGUCUUCGGAUUGUAAACUCCUGUUGUUGGGGAAGAUAAUGACGGUACCCAACAAGGAAGUGACGGCUAACUACGUGCCAGCAGCCGCGGUAAAACGUAGGUCACAAGCGUUGUCCGGAAUUACUGGGUGUAAAGGGAGCGCAGGCGGGAAGACAAGUUGGAAGUGAAAUCUAUGGGCUCAGCCCAUAAACUGCUUUCAAAACUGUUUUUCUUGAGUAGUGCAGAGGUAGGCGGAAUUCCCGGUGUAGCGGUGGAAUGCGUAGAUAUCGGGAGGAACACCAGUGGCGAAGGCGGCCUACUGGGCACCAACUGACGCUGAGGCUCGAAAGUGUGGGUAGCAAACAGGAUUAGAUACCCUGGUAGUCCACACCGUAAACGAUGAUUACUAGGUGUUGGAGGAUUGACCCCUUCAGUGCCGCAGUUAACACAAUAAGUAAUCCACCUGGGGAGUACGACCGCAAGGUUGAAACUCAAAGGAAUUGACGGGGGCCCGCACAAGCAGUGGAGUAUGUGGUUUAAUUCGACGCAACGCGAAGAACCUUACCAAGUCUUGACAUCCCUUGACAGGCAUAGAAAUAUGUUUUCUCUUCGGAGCAAGGAGACAGGUGGCGCAUGGUUGUCGUCAGCUCGUGUCGUGAGAUGUUGGGUUAAGUCCCGCGACGAGCGCAACCCUUAUGGUCAGUUACUACGCAAGAGGACUCUGGCCAGACUGCCGUUGACAAAACGGAGGAAGGUGGGGAUGACGUCAAAUCAUCAUGCCCUUUAUGACUUGGGCUACACACGUACUACAAUGGCGUUAAACAAAGAGAAGCAAGACCGCGAGGUGGAGCAAAACUCAGAAACAACGUCCCAGUUCGGACUGCAGGCUGCAACUCGCCUGCACGAAGUCGGAA